Molecule: long non-coding RNA, 3123 nt
Organism: Austrofundulus limnaeus
Lineage: Eukaryota; Metazoa; Chordata; Actinopteri; Cyprinodontiformes; Rivulidae
Exons: 2
Source: RefSeq, a predicted model, not a curated record
UGCUAACUGAUGUGUCCGCUCUCUUCUGACACAGCUCUGUGACAUUCCAGCGCAGGACUCCUUCAUGUCCGGAGAGGAAAAAAAGAGAGGGAACGAGGAAGAUCCACAAACAAUGCCCAUUGAGUACUGUGAGGCAACAGCUGGUGGGAUAUGCACUGACCUUAAGGAGGUCUAUUCAGGCCUGGACUGGCGCCUCUCAUGGCCCCGCUGCCUUUAUAUGGCUGGAAGUGGAUGGAUGGUCAAUGUUUAUUCUCAUCAUGCAAACAGAAGAGCAACAGUGCCCGGCGGCUUCGGCCCAAUCGGAAAUAUUGAGGGUAGUCAAAUUAAAGUUUCGAAGGGGAGCGUUUCAUCUCAUGACAGCRGGAUGGAGAUAAAACUGAACGCCUGUCAAAGCCUUUGUUUCACAGGAGCACUGAGGCAUUUCCCAGCGGGCCUCAUGCCUGUCUUUGAGAUCAAACCUUGCUGGCAAAGCCACCAUAAAGCGAUAUGUCAGUCGGGAGUGGGAAAGAGAUGCCUGCUUGACUGUGAUUGAUCUGCCACGGUUUCUUUAUUCCCCUUGAGGCUGGAUACAUCCAGGCUGCGGAUCCAGCCUGAUGAAUAGCACCACGCACCCUGCCCGCCUCACGUCCCCUCUUCUCCACCCGGCGUGGCCCAUCCCGCAGCCCAUCACGGAAGGCCACAYGCUGCAAUAUAAAAUUAAAAACACCAGAUUCCAGUUCCAGGAAGCGCAGGCAGAGCCUUGCCAACCAAUCACAUCGAAGGACAUCCAACUCAUUAAAAGUUAAUGAAACCUAUAAACGUGGUGCGCCAGCGAUUCAUUUAAACCCCCAAUCCAAUCUCCUCUCUCUGCAAAGGCAAACAAGCCUGUGUGCCCCCAGUGCUGUCCUCGGAAUAACAAACUACGGAAUAUUUUGUCCUGCAUAUGUUCUCCCCUAUGCAGACAUGUGCUGCRGUGAUAGGGUAUCUUACAAUGGGACUUGUCCAAUUUAGAAAAAAAUAAAGCAAGGGUGGUGUACUGCAGGGGUAAAAUCUGUAAUYUGCUCUUCAGUUGAAUUUAAUGCAUUUGCCUUACACUGCACUGCUUGUCAGGAAUGGCUGCAAUAGAUAUGCCAUUUCAACAUUCAUGAGAAUCACUGACAUUCAAAUAAUGUGCUCRUUUUAAUACCGUACAUGAGUGAAAGGCAAAAGCUGCUUAUGCAACCUCCAGUUCGAAGCAAGUGCAGGCAGACGAGGCCGAGUGCGAGCAAAAACCCGUUCUUCCCGCAGCCUCACCUUACGUGUCAAACAUAUUCAUUUAAYUCUGCUCCUAAUUUCAUAACAUGUCAUAAGCAGCAAUAAAACCCCACUUUACUGCCGUUAAAAAUCAAACAAGUUCAACAACAACCUCUUUUGUGUGUUGCACUCAGCUCCGGUGUCUCAUAGAGCUUCCCUUGAGGGAUUCAAAUUAAAUUCUCUCCUUGUAAAGAGCCACAGUCAGCUYGCUAAUGAAUUCCCAUACCCUGACUCAAAUCAAAUUAAUCCCCAGUUUAAUUCCAUAUAAACGGCGGUGUUAUUUAUAGUGGGAAGACGGAUGCUCGGUUGAAGGAUUGAGGAAAGCUGGGAGGUGUCUAUAGGGCCGCUGAGCAGAUUAUGGUGAAGGAUGAAUCCUGUAUGUUUUCCCCGACAGCAGAGUGGUCCCCUGGUACACACUAUUUAACCCUCGCCUGCUUGACGCUGACAGAAACAUCACAGUGUUUGUCACCUAAUAUCCUUUCAGAUUAAGGAGUCAACUGGCAGAUUUAUUGGUCGGAGCUGAGACGCUCUUAUCUUGAAGGGCCCAAUAGAAAGAUAAUGCGUGAAGGCGCGACGUCAUAACGCACGGCUACAGUUAGGUCAUGGGUUUUUGUAGAGAGACAAAAUUUGCAUGAACCCCUUAGGCAAAUCUCUUUCGUGGAGAGAAACAGCUCGAUGUGACUAUUUUGAUCACAGUAAUUUGAUUUUCUGAAGUCAGCAGUGACAGGUAGUUUGUUGAAUGGCUUUUUCAUACAAAUGRCACAACAAACUGACAAAUUGUGGUAUCAUGACAAACUGCUAAUGCUUUGUGGCUGCAAAUGUAACAGCCUACAUAACACUACUCUUCUGAGGAAAAAGUGGUGAUGUUAAGUUCAUCCACCCCCCAUGAAUAUGCCAAGUGAUAAAACAGGCUUCUUUAUAAAAAGUAAAAAAAAAGUUUUGAACAGUGUGUUUACUAAGAAAUUAUCAAACAGACUUAAAAGUGUGCAAAAAGCCAGAAAAUGUUAAAUGAAUUUUUUUGUAUAAUGAACAAUUAACAUAUUGGGUUUUUCACUAAAGAGAAAUUAAGACCCAUAUUUGUAUUUAAGCACUUMGUCCCCUGUGCCCCUUUCUUCAGAAUCUGUCUGUAUUUGUUGUUUAGCAAAGACGGCAAAAAACAGCAUUUGUUGUUCUUAAGCUAAAAUGUGAAUAACAGGGCAUCAACCUGUUGCUGAAGCUUCUGCUUUAUUUUUAUCAAACAGUUACAUUUUACUCUUAAAACAUCGUUGCAGUGUUGUGAUCAGAUUCUUUUUUUUUAUUUCAAAAUAAUCUUUGUUAAAUGAAUUAAAGAGUUCAAUUAAUACUGACUGAUUCGGAAGACUUUUUAUAGGUAAAAUUUAAGUAAAAAUAACAUUUUUCUAGGUUAAAUUUCUCAUUUAAAACCAUGACGUGGUCGCCACAUGUAGCUGAAUGUUUUAGGAGUUUUUUUCCGAUCCAAGUUUAUGAUGUGUACAGUUGACAAAGAAUCAUUAGCAUGGGAUGCGUUUAAGGAUGACAGACGGUUGUGAAAGUCGGUUUGGCAGUUUCGGGGACAGUUUGGAGCCUUUAAAGCUCGGUCCACCAAAUGUCUGAACAUCUAUGGUUUAUUGAGGCAUCUGUAAGCUUACGCACUUUACUGCCAAGCUUGGCCCGUGCACCUAUAUGGUCCUGAAAUGGAUGGAAGCACACCCACGCAAAAGUUUACUCUUUGCCUUCAUACCAAAUCCUUGACAGCCAURCAUCCCCACCCAAUCACCAUUCUAACACAUGUGCUGUCACAAAUAAACACAUUUAGUUUUUCUGGAAUAUACACUACCAAAUGUUUGGCAACUU